GAUGAACGCUGGCGGCGUGCUUAACACAUGCAAGUCGAACGAAGCACUUUAUUUGAUUUCCUUCGGGACUGAUUAUUUUGUGACUGAGUGACGGACGGGUGAGUAACGCGUGGGUAACCUGCCUUGUACAGGGGGAUAACAGUUGGAAACGGCUGCUAAUACCGCAUAAGCGCCCAGCAUCGCAUGAUGCAGUGUGGAAAACUCCGGUGGUAUAAGAUGGACCCGCGUUGGAUUAGCUAGUUGGUGAGGUAACGGCCCACCAAGGCGACGAUCCAUAGCCGAGCUGAGAGGGUGACCGGCCACAUUGGGAGUGAGACACGGCCCAAACUCCUACGGGAGGCAGCAGUGGGGAAUAUUGCACAAUGGGCGAAAGCCUGAUGCAGCGACGCCGCGUGAGCGAAGAAGUAUUUCGGUAUGUAAAGCUCUAUAAGCAGGGAAGAUAAUGACGGUACCUGAAGAAGAAGCACCGGCUAAAUACGUG
This 481-nucleotide ribosomal RNA is filed under the name uncultured bacterium. RNAcentral's name for it is "partial 16S ribosomal RNA". It matches the Rfam family "Bacterial small subunit ribosomal RNA", at positions 28 to 507 of the family's 1533-position model. The record is from RNAcentral.